AACGGGGCUAAACCAUGCACCGAAGCUGCGGCAGCGACGCUUAUGCGUUGUUGGGUAGGGGAGCGUUCUGUAAGCCUGUGAAGGUGUGCUGUGAGGCAUGCUGGAGGUAUCAGAAGUGCGAAUGCUGACAUAAGUAACGAUAAAGCGGGUGAAAAGCCCGCUCGCCGGAAGACCAAGGGUUCCUGUCCAACGUUAAUCGGGGCAGGGUGAGUCGACCCCUAAGGCGAGGCCGAAAGGCGUAGUCGAUGGGAAACAGGUUAAUAUUCCUGUACUUGGUGUUACUGCGAAGGGGGGACGGAGAAGGCUAUGUUGGCCGGGCGACGGUUGUCCCGGUUUAAGCGUGUAGGCUGGUUUUCCAGGCAAAUCCGGAAAAUCAAGGCUGAGGCGUGAUGACGAGGCACUACGGUGCUGAAGCAACAAAUGCCCUGCUUCCAGGAAAAGCCUCUAAGCAUCAGGUAACAUCAAAUCGUACCCCAAACCGACACAGGUGGUCAGGUAGAGAAUACCAAGGCGCUUGAGAGAACUCGGGUGAAGGAACUAGGCAAAAUGGUGCCGUAACUUCGGGAGAAGGCACGCUGAUAUGUAGGUGAAGUCCCUCGCGGAUGGAGCUGAAAUCAGUCGAAGAUACCAGCUGGCUGCAACUGUUUAUUAAAAACACAGCACUGUGCAAACACGAAAGUGGACGUAUACGGUGUGACGCCUGCCCGGUGCCGGAAGGUUAAUUGAUGGGGUCAGCGCAAGCGAAGCUCUUGAUCGAAGCCCCGGUAAACGGCGGCCGUAACUAUAACGGUCCUAAGGUAGCGAAAUUCCUUGUCGGGUAAGUUCCGACCUGCACGAAUGGCGUAAUGAUGGCCAGGCUGUCUCCACCCGAGACUCAGUGAAAUUGAACUCGCUGUGAAGAUGCAGUGUACCCGCGGCAAGACGGAAAGACCCCGUGAACCUUUACUAUAGCUUGACACUGAACAUUGAGCCUUGAUGUGUAGGAUAGGUGGGAGGCUUUGAAGUGUGGACGCCAGUCUGCAUGGAGCCGACCUUGAAAUACCACCCUUUAAUGUUUGAUGUUCUAACGUUGACCCGUGAUCCGGGUUGCGGACAGUGUCUGGUGGGUAGUUUGACUGGGGCGGUCUCCUCCUAAAGAGUAACGGAGGAGCACGAAGGUUGGCUAAUCCUGGUCGGACAUCAGGAGGUUAGUGCAAUGGCAUAAGCCAGCUUGACUGCGAGCGUGACGGCGCGAGCAGGUGCGAAAGCAGGUCAUAGUGAUCCGGUGGUUCUGAAUGGAAGGGCCAUCGCUCAACGGAUAAAAGGUACUCCGGGGAUAACAGGCUGAUACCGCCCAAGAGUUCAUAUCGACGGCGGUGUUUGGCACCUCGAUGUCGGCUCAUCACAUCCUGGGGCUGAAGUAGGUCCCAAGGGUAUGGCUGUUCGCCAUUUAAAGUGGUACGCGAGCUGGGUUUAGAACGUCGUGAGACAGUUCGGUCCCUAUCUGCCGUGGGCGCUGGAGAACUGAGGGGGGCUGCUCCUAGUACGAGAGGACCGGAGUGGACGCAUCACUGGUGUUCGGGUUGUCAUGCCAAUGGCACUGCCCGGUAGCUAAAUGCGGAAGAGAUAAGUGCUGAAAGCAUCUAAGCACGAAACUUGCC
Molecule: ribosomal RNA, 1640 nt
Filed under: Escherichia coli
Lineage: Bacteria; Pseudomonadati; Pseudomonadota; Gammaproteobacteria; Enterobacterales; Enterobacteriaceae
Description: partial 23S ribosomal RNA
Rfam family: Bacterial large subunit ribosomal RNA
Source: RNAcentral